AUUUAUAUAGUUUAAAGAAAACAUUACAUUUUCACUGUAAAAAUAAUAAUUAAUAUUUAUAAAUA
Molecule: transfer RNA, 65 nt
Filed under: Mecostethus alliaceus
Lineage: Eukaryota; Metazoa; Arthropoda; Insecta; Orthoptera; Acrididae
Also listed under: 1 other name
Description: Parapleurus alliaceus tRNA-Glu
Source: RNAcentral